Molecule: long non-coding RNA, 2790 nt
Organism: Callithrix jacchus (white-tufted-ear marmoset)
Lineage: Eukaryota; Metazoa; Chordata; Mammalia; Primates; Cebidae
Source: RefSeq, a predicted model, not a curated record
CUCUGUGAAAGUCCUUGGUUAUAGAGAUGUUUAGUGUUCUGGCUUUCUUAAAUGCUGGUUAUGCUAGCAGUGAAUUUGUGUGUGGACACAUUCAAAACCUCUGGUUGCUCAGGUGUGGCGGCUAACACCUGUAAUCCCAGCACUUUGGGAAGCUGAGGGGGAUGGAUCACCUGAGGUCAGAAGUUUGAGACUAGCCUGCCCAACAUGGCAAAACCUCAUCUCUACUAAAACUAUAAAAAUUAGCUGGGUGUGGUGGUGUAUCCUUGUAGUCCCAGCUACUGAGGAGGCUGAGGUGGAAGAAUCAGUUAAACCUGGUGGGUGGAGGUUGCAGUGAGCUGAGAUCAUGACAUUGCACUACAGUCUGGUGACAGAGUGAGUCUCUGUUUCAGAAGAAAAACAACAACAAUAACAACAAACUUCUGGUUAGCCAGGACGUUGCAGGCAGUGGAAUUAGCUGUUGUCUUCUCUUUUCUGUGAUUGGGAUUAUUCUGUCAUGAGUUGCUGUAAUAACCUGAGUUGUUUGGUAUCCAACCAAGAUAUGGCACUUUCAAGAAAGCACCAGCUGAGCUACUACUGGUGCUAUCCAACAAAAGCCAUGUUACCAUGAGGCCGUCUUUAUGAACUUUCCCACCAGAGCACCCUGGCCUCCCUUGUAUGUUUCCAGCUUCUGAUGACAAAUCUAAUGUACACGGAGGUUAAGUAACUUGCCCAAGGUCACAUAGCCAAAUGCAGAAAUCCUGGUGGGAGCUGAAGUAGUCAUCAUGGUUCAGGAGAUGGAAGCCACCUUUUGAGAGAGCAGAAGAAAAAGACACAAGAAGUCAAACUCCACAGAAUCAUGGUGCCACCUUACCAGCCCUGGACUCCUAUAUUGAAGGGAAGCAAACUUCAAUUAAUUUAAGUGGCUAUUAUUUUUGUUCUUAUUAUUAUACAGCAAAACCACUACUGUAACUACUGAAGUUGAUGUCAUCAUUAUUCUCAUUUUAAAGAUGGAUAGACUGAGACACACAGAAUUUAAGUGAUGGAGUGGCAGAGCCAGGUUUGAACUAGAGAAUCUGGCUCCAGAGUCUUCCCUGUUAACCACAGCCCUCUAUUUUUCUGAUAAGAUGCCAUGCACACUUGUGUUUAAUUAAUUUUAACAUGUGAUUUUCUGCCAUUUGUGACUUAGGGAUGGGAAAGUCAGAAGGUUUUUUUGUUUGUUUUUGUUUUUUAAUGCCUUUCCACAUUUUGUAUCGGUGAUCAGGUUGAAAUCAAUAUGGAUGUGUCUAGAUUCAUUCAGGGAAGGAUGGUGAGGCUGAUAAUGGAACCAGAAACAGGGUGGCAGAAGUGAUGAUGUGCAGAAGAUAAGGAUGGGGAGGUAAUGAAAUUAAGAUGAGAAUGUGACUAAAGAGGGCCAAUUUCUGCACAGCUGAUAUGGAAAGCAAAUAACAAGUGUGUGAUAAAGCAUAAGGAGAUAAAGUAAGUAUUUUUACAUCACUGACCUAUAUGGCCCCAUAUCAGGUGCAAUCAAGGUUGCCUGGCAUCUUGCAGUUGGUCCUACUAGCCAGCAGUUUCCCUGGGACAACAAUGAUCCUGCAGCCUAAAGGAACACGUAAUGUUCUGGAAACUUGAGUUUCAGUGUGACCCUCUCCACAGCAAUCUUUUCAGCUUUAGGUCUUCCUGGGAAGCCUCAGAGCAGCAUUUCCUGCAGCUUCAUUAAAGAUACUGUUUCACUCACCUGUCUGUCCUGGCUUCUCCUUCUGUAAGCAGCAAAGGCAGGAUAACCCUUGGUAUUAGAAAGGUAUAAUGCUUAAAAUUAGAAGACUCUGAAAUCAUCUCAAAUUGACUCCUCACUUUUCAUAUAGGUUGACCUAAAUUUCAUGUGAGAAGAGAGAUUCUUCCUUUUACCACAUAAUUUUUGAGCGUGUUCUUCACUUUUCUCUAUUUCAUUUUCCUUAGGUGUGAACAAAAGACUUGAACUAAGUGAGUGCUGAGGGCAUUUACAGGAAUAGCCUUCCAUGGUUUGCCCUUCUUCAUAGCUUUGAAUUUCCAAACCACUGAAAAAGAAGUCACAAACCAUGCAUUUUCUUUAAUACAUCCUUACUUUUCACUGCCUCAGUCACUUAAAUAAUGGGAAGUUUUGUGUGUUCAUGCCUUUGUCUAAGAAAUCAUGAAAGAGGAAGUGUCUCAUUAGGAAAGGUGACUUGUAUUUACUUACACUAUGAUUAACAAAAAGACAAUUCCAUCUUUAGGAAAGUGGAGUUGUUCCAGGGAGAACAAUGAGAAGAUGCAUCUGGACUCCACAUUUCUGCCUUCUAGGCUUGCUCUCUCAUUGAAAGGAGAAUUUCCUAACUUCUAACUUCAUAAACAUUGCUCUAAGAGAGAAGUAGUAAUGACCCUCACUGACAAAGAAUGCAAUGCAAUUCAGAAUAUGCUUGAUGCAAAUCAUCAUCAAAUUGAUAGUGCUUUACACUUGGCAAAGUGUUCUCACAGUACAAGGCCCCCUGCCCAAUGUGGGCAAAACACAAUGAAUAAAAUAUGAUCCCUUCUUAGAAGGGACCUAUAAUCCAGGGUAGAAAAUAGACAAGUGCAUAAAUAAUUCUAACUCAAGACAGGCCCCCCAUUUAUGCUUUAUUAGAGGUACAAAGAAAAUAAUAGCAGAACAGCAGAGGGAAAGGUGACUUCCCAUAGAAUUUUAAAUGGAGGAUUCUUGAAAAAAGUGAGAAUUUGUCGAGGCUAUUGCUAAUAGCAAACAUAAUUGGUUACUUUACCUAUUUCUUUAAUUUCUUUCAAUUUUUACAAUAACCCAAAUGA